Non-coding RNA from Malus domestica (apple), 987 nucleotides. NCBI's taxonomy places the organism in Eukaryota, Viridiplantae, Streptophyta, Magnoliopsida, Rosales, Rosaceae. The record is from RefSeq and is a predicted model, not a curated record.
GCCACCAAUCUUAUGUUUCAACUACUACCUCUCACAAAAGGCUUCAGCUCCAUCUCUGACUACCUUUAACAUGCUAAGUUUAUUGUCAAUUCUCUUGCUACUACAAUCAACCCAUUUCUAAUAAUGAUUUGGUGACCUCUAUGCUUAAGGGUCUUGGGCCUGAUUAUUCGAUGUUUGUCACUGAUGUUCUAAUUUUUUCUCCCUUGCCAGAAUUUCCUGAUCUUCGUUCACGUAUCCUCAACUUUGAGACCUAAACUCGCCCUGAGAAUACGGCCGAGCCAUGCACUUUUUGCUAGUGUUCCUGGUGCUCUUGCCCCUGCCACUAUUAUGCAGCACGUGGCCCAGCCGCCUUAUCCUAUCCUAACACCGUAGCAAGGCAUGUCGUAGCAGCAGCUUGCUAAGCUCAUGGCCCAAACCUGCCACAACUGUAACUGCAACCCUCGUGGGGUCUACAAUAAGCCACGUGGUGACUACAAUAAGAGGUCUAGUAGUGGAUGGGGUUACGGUAGUUGUCGUGGUGGUUGUAGCAAUUAGUAAUCCAACAAUUAGGCCUUCAACACCAAUAACCAAUAUGGUAUUCUUGGUGAUCUUCCUUGUUUUUUGUGUAGCUUUGGCAACUCUCCCGACCAUCACAUCUUCGCUUGUCCUCAUCACCGUACACCUUCUUUUGCAGGCUAUCAUGUUAUUCCUCAUGAUGCUGCUAAUGAUCUCACCUGGUACUUUGAUACGGAAGCUACUCAUCACAUGGCUAUAACGGAGCUGCCCUCCAAGACUCCUCUCCGUAUACGGGUCACUGUAAGGGUCAUCUCUAUCAUGUGUCUUCGUCCUGGCCGUUCCUUGUGGCACUCCCAUCUUGGUCAUCCAACUUCCGAAGUUGUAUCUAAAUUGUCUUUAAGUUUAUGUCUUAAUUAAAUAAGGCGCUUUGUAAGCCUUGUGCAUUCUCUCGGUCGCACAAGCUACCUUUUAAUUCCGAUAUAAUUAAUAGUC